This 686-nucleotide long non-coding RNA is filed under the name Manihot esculenta (cassava). Its description in RNAcentral is "long non-coding RNA (MESC_LNC003569)". Lineage: Eukaryota; Viridiplantae; Streptophyta; Magnoliopsida; Malpighiales; Euphorbiaceae. The record is from RNAcentral.
AAUUUAAUGGAGCUCUUAACCUUAAUCAUUAAAAUAAAUAAAUAGUAGUGAUUGAGGUACAAUAGAAAUGGAUAAAAAUCAAGAACAAUUACGGUGAUAGCUUUCACAUCACAUGAGUAGAAAAUAUUUAUAAAAAGAAAUGGAGAUGAUUCCUCAUUCCUCAAACAACAAUCAUCAAAAUAAUUUAAUGGAGCUCUUAACCUUAAUCAUUAAAAUAAAUAAAUAGUAGUGAUUGAGGUACAAUAGAAAUGGAUAAAAAUCAAGAACAAUUACGGUGAUAGCUUUCACAUCACAUGAGUAGAAAAUAUUUAUAAAAAGAAAUGGAGAUGAUUCCUCAUUCCUCAAACAACACUUCACCUUUCAAGAUUGCUUUUUCUUCUUUCUCAUCAUGUUUUGUGAAUAAUGAGGAUGAAACCUGAAAGGCUGUAAAGUGUGGCCAAAGCAACCUAUGCUCAUUUUAUAUAUAUACACACACAGAGCACAUAUUUUUCAAAGAUUCUUCCGUAUUGAACCCUUUAUUUUUUCAUUAUAGCCUUUCAAUAAUUGUAUCCGUUUGAGUAGGGCUAGAGCUCCACGAUUAUUCUAUAGCUCGUACUGAUAGGCACUCAUACCUCUUUAAGUCUUGAAUUGAGAAAUACUUCUGUAUGUAACUCCACUAUGCGCAUUUACUUUUCUUUUUUUUUUUU